AGUAAUUUGAUAUACUUCGGUAUAUUCUCUUUUACUGUGAACUGUAUUAUUGCAUGACGCUUGAGGGAUGUCUAUAGAUCAUAUGGGUAGGUCUAGAGAAUGUUAACCGAGUCAUGAUCAAGCUUAGGCUUGUUGCCCUAUUAUUAUUUACCAAAAGAAUUCAGUAUUAAUAUUGUAACAUAGACGUAAAAAAUCUAUAAAA
RNAcentral lists this unclassified non-coding RNA (202 nucleotides) under uncultured fungus. Its description in RNAcentral is "sequence contains ITS1, 5.8S rRNA gene". Lineage: Eukaryota; Fungi. RNAcentral also lists the same sequence under 1 other name. The record is from RNAcentral.